This 217-nucleotide ribosomal RNA is filed under the name Campeiostachys nutans. RNAcentral's name for it is "Elymus nutans partial small subunit ribosomal RNA". The stretch from base 47 to 217 matches the Rfam family "Eukaryotic small subunit ribosomal RNA", at positions 692 to 864 of the family's 1831-position model. Lineage: Eukaryota; Viridiplantae; Streptophyta; Magnoliopsida; Poales; Poaceae. The record is from RNAcentral.
GAGUUUGUCGGUUGGUCGGGCUUCACUGUCCGCACUGACCUGAUGGAUUCCUACCUUCUGAAUAACCAGCAUGCUAUUAAGUUAGUGCGUUGGGGAAGCAGAGCUAUUACCUUGAAAAAAUUAGAGUGCUUAAAGCAGGCUUAUGCUUGAAUAAAUUAGCAUGGAAUAAUAAAAUAGGACGUUUAAUUCUAUAUUGUUGGUUUCUAGGAUCACCGUA